RNAcentral lists this ribosomal RNA (487 nucleotides) under Isochrysis galbana. RNAcentral's name for it is "partial Bacterial small subunit ribosomal RNA". It matches the Rfam family "Bacterial small subunit ribosomal RNA", at positions 1 to 526 of the family's 1533-position model. The record is from RNAcentral. Lineage: Eukaryota; Haptophyta; Isochrysidales; Isochrysidaceae.
UUGAGAGUUUGAUCCUGGCUCAGAACGAACGCUGGCGGCAGGCCUAACACAUGCAAGUCGAAGGAGAAGCUGGACUUCGGUCUGGUGGACACUGGCGCACGGGUGAGUAACGCGUGGGAACCUACCUCAAGGUACGGAACAACCGCUGGAAACGGCGGCUAAUACCGUAUGUGCCCUUCGGGGGAAAGAUUUAUCGCCAUUAGAUGAGCCCGCGUCGGAUUAGCUUGUUGGUGAGGUAAAAGCUCACCAAGGCGACGAUCCGUAGCUGGUCUGAGAGGAUGAUCAGCCACACUGGAACUGAGACACGGUCCAGACUCCUACGGGAGGCAGCAGUGGGGAAUCUUGGACAAUGGGCGAAAGCCUGAUCCAGCCAUUCCGCGUGGAUGACGAAGGCCUUAGGGUUGUAAAAUCCUUUCAGCAGGGAAGAUAAUGACGGUACCUGCAGAAGAAGCCCCGGCUAACUCCGUGCCAGCAGCCGCGGUAAUAC